GGGAAGGUGGCUCAGUGGUAGAAUACUUGCCUUGUAUGCAUGAGGCCCUGGGUUCAACUACCCAGCCCCA
RNAcentral lists this transfer RNA (70 nucleotides) under Dipodomys ordii (Ord's kangaroo rat). It matches the Rfam family "tRNA". Rfam says of the family: Transfer RNA (tRNA) molecules are approximately 80 nucleotides in length. Their secondary structure includes four short double-helical elements and three loops (D, anti-codon, and T loops). The record is from Rfam by way of RNAcentral. Lineage: Eukaryota; Metazoa; Chordata; Mammalia; Rodentia; Heteromyidae.